RNAcentral lists this non-coding RNA (722 nucleotides) under Pan troglodytes (chimpanzee). The record is from RNAcentral. Lineage: Eukaryota; Metazoa; Chordata; Mammalia; Primates; Hominidae.
AAGAUGAUCGUACUUUAAAUGUGGCAAAGAAACAGUGUGGCUUUUGUUACGAGUGCAGCACAAAAUAGCAGAGCUAGACCCGAAGAGGUCAUUUAUAUUGGAACACGGUCUUCUCAGGUGUAAUCAGUGGAAACUGAUGAAUGGAGACCAUUAUAACACUUUGGUGUCUUAUAAAACCUGGGAAACUUCAUAUAACCUUGGAAGAAAUCUCUCACUCUCAAUACCACCAAAUGACAGAAACACAGCUCCAAACUAGAGGUAUACCACUUUUGAAGAGUAACUCAAAGUAUAAAUAGCAUUUUGCAAACUGGAAGUAACCAUGUGACUAUCUAUUAGUCAUACUGUUGUUUAUUACAAUUUUCUUCUCGUCAAAAAAAAAAAGCUUGCCAAGGAGGAAGGAAGUUUGUGAUAUAACAAUUUAAAGCUGAAGAAUAAACACAUAUUUUCUUACUUUCUCAACGGGGAUUCUCAUCUGAACCACAGAACAUGAAAUUGCUCAAGUGGCUGUUUUUCUGAUUCACCCAGGAGUGGUACUUAACAUGUAUCCUUCCAGAACUGUAGGAGAGGCUGAUACUAAUUAAUUCAACAGCAUUCUUUAGGACAUUACUGCUUUCUUAUCCUGUGUUAAGAAAGAUCACCUUAAAAGCGAUAGAAUCAAAGAAAAAAGCAAUGUUUUAAACUUUGGCUACUGAAAGAAAAACAAAAACUAUUAUCUCUCUCUC